This 322-nucleotide ribosomal RNA is filed under the name uncultured eukaryote. Its description in RNAcentral is "partial 18S ribosomal RNA". It matches the Rfam family "Eukaryotic small subunit ribosomal RNA", at positions 1470 to 1796 of the family's 1831-position model. The record is from RNAcentral.
CCCUUAGAUGUUCUGGGCCGCACGCGUGCUACACUGAGUGGAUCAGCGGGUCAGGUUGCGCGAAAGUGUUUCCUAAUCUUGAAAUCCGCUCGUGAUGGGGAUUGACGGUUGCAAUUUUCCGUCAUGAACGAGGAAUACCUUGUAAGCGCGGGUCAUCAUCCCGCGCUGAAUACGUCCCUGCCCUUUGUACACACCGCCCGUCGCUCCUACCGAUUGAGUGGUCCGGUGAGGCUUUGGGAUCUGAGCAAAAAGAGCGUUUCGCUCGUUUGGCUCGGAAAACUCAGUCGAACCUUAUCAUUUAGAGGAGGGAGAAGUCGUAACA